RNAcentral lists this ribosomal RNA (468 nucleotides) under uncultured bacterium. RNAcentral describes it as "partial 16S ribosomal RNA". It matches the Rfam family "Bacterial small subunit ribosomal RNA", at positions 28 to 507 of the family's 1533-position model. The record is from RNAcentral.
GACGAACGCUGGCGGCGUGCUUAACACAUGCAAGUCGAACGGAAAGGCCCUGCUUUUGUGUGGUGCUCGAGUGGCGAACGGGUGAGUAACACGUGAGUAACCUGCUCUUGACUUUGGGAUAACUUCAGGAAACUGGGGCUAAUACCGGAUAGGAGCUCCUGCUGCAUGGUGGGGGUUGGAAAGUUUCGGCGGUUGGGGAUGGACUCGCGGCUUAUCAGCUUGUUGGUGGGGUAGUGGCUUACCAAGGCUUUGACGGGUAGCCGGCCUGAGAGGGUGACCGGCCACAUUGGGACUGAGAUACGGCCCAGACUCCUACGGGAGGCAGCAGUGGGGAAUAUUGCACAAUGGGCGGAAGCCUGAUGCAGCAACGCCGCGUGCGGGAUGACGGCCUUCGGGUUGUAAACCGCUUUCGCCUGUGACGAAGCGUGAGUGACGGUAAUGGGUAAAGAAGCACCGGCUAACUACGUG